Non-coding RNA from Aedes aegypti (yellow fever mosquito), 46 nucleotides. The record is from Rfam. Lineage: Eukaryota; Metazoa; Arthropoda; Insecta; Diptera; Culicidae.
CUAACGGUCUUUUUCAAGACCAAAGAGUUGUGGGAAAUAAUUUCUU